GAAUUUCCUUGUCUUAUCAAUUUUAGCUGUUCUCAGCCUAACUAACUAUUAGAAUUGUCUGUGAUUCACUAGCGUGGAAGAAAUUUAUUUGCUUGGCUUCCUGUUGAUAAUUGACGUAACAAAAACAUGUUGAGUGUUCAUUUAGUAAUAAUUAAGGCCUACUUUCUGUGGGGUUUGCUCGAUACUCGAAGCAGGAAGCUCUUGUUCAGCUCAUUUUGAUAUCUGUACAUUUGUGUUGAUUUAGACUCGGGUUUCAUGUGGAAAGCUGUCCUGAUUAAAUAAUAUUGUACAAUUCGUGAUUCAAUGAAAAAAUGGCAAAUUUAGUCUUCCUGGCCUCAAAAGUAACGCAGGAGAGUUAUUUCCUUUUAUUUGAGCCAGGAUAAGCCUUGUAGAAAGCUAGCUCUAGGACAGAAUUGUAACAAGAUUAUCAGUGUCAAGUCAAAUUCUAUGGGGCUUCUUUAAGGACAAAAUAACGAACAUCCAUACAUUAAUGUUUUGUUAAAUUAAUUAUUGUUGUGUGAGAUAAUACAAAUUUUAAAAUAGCAUAAAUCAAUUUCGUAUGGGAUACAUCGAUUUUGAAUGUCAUACAUUGAUGUUGUGCAGCAAACAUCACUUUCCUAAAUCAUGCAUGACCGUGUACAACUAAAAGAUGAUCGAUAAGCCUAAAAGAUGAGGUGUUAAUUCCCAAGGCCUCUUCUUUUGGCCGACUUCGGGUCACUUCUAUUUCUGCUUCCUAUUUCUGCUUUCAAUGACUUAGUCAUUGAAAAUUCUUGAUUUUUUCCAUUUCUGAUCUGUUUUCUAGAAACCUUUCUCAUCUAUCAAGGGAAAUGGUUUCCUUCCGCAUCAAAUUCAAACAGCAGAUCAAGUGGUUUCACAGUUUUUUUGUUUCUGUCAAAUUUUGUAACCUUUUCAAGUUAUUUUCUCAGUUAGUAUAGAGUGCAGACUACAGACUGAAUGCAAAACACAGAUUGAGAAUAGACUGUUUGUUUUUCUCUUAUGUGAUAACAUGUCAUUUUUCAACUUACCAAGUGUCAUGCAAUCGCUUUUCUGCAGUCAUCUUCAAGAAUGGGGAAUAUUCCAGGCCCAUUUCUUCAAAUAUUUUGUUUUUAACAAAGCAUCAAGGCCAUAAUCAUUCUUAAAUAGAAUUUCAAGCCUUAAUAGUCUUCACACUUUGCGCAUGAGAUUUCAGUGUUAAAUAACAACACGUAAUAUGAUGGAAUCUAAGAAUAUUGAGUAAGAAUUUUGAAGCAAAUUAGGGUCAGAGCUCAACGUUGUGACCACUGCGACCAAAUUUUUUUUCAUUGGUGACUAACUUUCAAUCCUUUCCACUGAAAUACAUUUGCUGGCGACUAAAUCUGACAACUUAGGAGCCAGCUGUCCCCAAGGUUUCUUCCUGAAAGUAGAGCCCUGAGAGUGUUCAUGUUCUCCUCAUGUACAAUGUGUUGUAUAUCAUAAUAUAAAUGAAGAACAAUGGGCAAAUUCUAACAGUCAAAAGCGAAGCUUCAUUUUCGUGACUGGCCAUUUGUUUAGUUUUCUUGUUACAUGUGUUUGGUAACUGUGUGUGUUCACCCUUGAAUGUUAAUUUAACAAUAUCAAGACAAAGGAGUAGUUUUGCUGUAAGUCUGCAUUUGGCUACAAAAUGAACACUGAUAAAUCUGUUAGAAGGCCUAGAGGAAGUUGGUUCAGUGUUGUCACUCUGUUGUUUCUCAAAUAUUGUACACGUGUGUUAUGUGAUACUGACCUCGAGCGUGAAGUGUUAAUACUAGGAAACCUUGAAUUCUUUUCAAGAAAUGAAUAUAGCCUUUAUACCUUGUUAAAAAUAGAAUAUAUGAAGUAACAGGCCAAGAAUAUUCCUCAAUAUUGCAAAUUCUUAUGGAAGAUGACCAUGGAAAAGUGAUUGACACUUGCUUGAAUUUUCAUGUAAAGUGCCUAGGAUUCAUUUAGGAGAUGUAGAGAAAACCGACAUAGAGAGCUGUUGUCUCAUGUCACUCCAAUUCAAGCAUUGGAUUAAUGUUCUGCUUAUUUCGGCACUGACCACGAUGCAAGCCCAGAAGCAAACACCUCACUCAGUUGAAAAUUUUGAACAUUAUCGAGAGGUGGUGGAAUGUGGACACUGAAACUGCAUGUUCUUUUGAUAACAAAAUAAGAGAGUUCCUCUGUGUCCUAUGCUGACCACGAUCCAAGGCUAAGGGGAGAUACACUCCAUCAAAAUUGGUUAGAAAUUGUAACAACUCAAACAAACAUCAGGAGAGAAUCCAAAUCAAGCGGAAUGAGGGAUGACUUGUUGGAUGUUGUGUAGAUUGAUUGAGAGUAGAAAACGUUUACCGUUGUUUGGAUCGGUAAUGCUUGUUUACGUGUAGAAAACUUUGGGUUGUUGUUGAUUGUAGAAUGUAAAGUUUAAAUAAUAAGUAGCGGUAAUAAUUGUAAUUUACGUGUAGGUAUGAUUUGGUUGGGAUUUAUUUUAGUAUUUAAAGUGCAAGUAAUUCUUUUUUAAAUUUAGGGCCAUGGUGUGUUGUUGAAAAUUUGAAUACAGAUCUUUUGUUUUUAUUUUUCUUCUUGAGGUUUGGUUGUACGUUUGUAGGUAUGGACUAUUUUGGGCUAAGUAUUUGUUUUGGGUUUUUGAGGUAAUUUUUUAAGAUGUUAAAAUGUAAUUUGUAGGUGUGUAUGUUGUGUGUUUUAUGUGAGAUUGGGGAAAAAUUUGUCAGUGUCGAUCUAGUGUAUGAGAAAAAAUUUUGUAAGUGUCUAAUUAGUAAAUUUUGUGUGUAACUAUUUGAAAAUAUUUUUGUAAGUGUAAAAGUGUAUGAGAAAAAAUUUUCUAAGUG
Long non-coding RNA from Orbicella faveolata, 2822 nucleotides. The record is from RefSeq and is a predicted model, not a curated record. Lineage: Eukaryota; Metazoa; Cnidaria; Anthozoa; Scleractinia; Merulinidae.